This 61-nucleotide transfer RNA is filed under the name Vesperocoris paddocki. Its description in RNAcentral is "tRNA-Glu". Lineage: Eukaryota; Metazoa; Arthropoda; Insecta; Hemiptera; Miridae. The record is from RNAcentral.
GUUUAUAUAGUUUAUAAAAACGUUUCAUUUUCAGUGAAAAAAUAAGAUUUAUCUUUAUAAA